Molecule: transfer RNA, 74 nt
Filed under: Thermoplasmata archaeon
Lineage: Archaea; Methanobacteriati; Thermoplasmatota; Thermoplasmata
Also listed under: 2 other names
Description: tRNA-Arg
Rfam family: tRNA
About the family: Transfer RNA (tRNA) molecules are approximately 80 nucleotides in length. Their secondary structure includes four short double-helical elements and three loops (D, anti-codon, and T loops). Further hydrogen bonds mediate the characteristic L-shaped molecular structure. tRNAs have two regions of fundamental functional importance: the anti-codon, which is responsible for specific mRNA codon recognition, and the 3' end, to which the tRNAs corresponding amino acid is attached (by aminoacyl-tRNA synthetases). tRNAs cope with the degeneracy of the genetic code in two manners: having more than one tRNA (with a specific anti-codon) for a particular amino acid; and 'wobble' base-pairing, i.e. permitting non-standard base-pairing at the 3rd anti-codon position.
Source: RNAcentral
GGGUCCGUAGUGUAGCUCGGAUAGCAUAGGGGCUUCCGGAGCCUCAGGCUCGGGUUCAAAUCCCGACGGGCCCG